Molecule: ribosomal RNA, 497 nt
Filed under: uncultured bacterium
Lineage: Bacteria
Description: partial 16S ribosomal RNA
Rfam family: Bacterial small subunit ribosomal RNA
Source: RNAcentral
GAUGAACGCUGGCGGCGUGCCUAAUACAUGCAAGUCGAGCGAACAGACGAGGAGCUUGCUCCUCUGACGUUAGCGGCGGACGGGUGAGUAACACGUGGAUAACCUACCUAUAAGACUGGGAUAACUUCGGGAAACCGGAGCUAAUACCGGAUAAUAUAUUGAACCGCAUGGUUCAAUAGUGAAAGACGGUUUUGCUGUCACUUAUAGAUGGAUCCGCGCCGCUUUAGCUGGUUGGUAAGGUAACGGCUUACCAAGGCAACGAUGCGUAGCCGACCUGAGAGGGUGUUCGGCCACCCUGGAACUGGGACACGCUCCAGACUCCUACGGGAGGCAGCAGUAGGGAAUCUUCCGCAAUGGGCGAAAGCCUGACGGAGCAACGCCGCGUGAGUGAUGAAGGUCUUCGGAUCGUAAAACUCUGUUAUUAGGGAAGAACAAAUGUGUAAGUAACUAUGCACGUCGUGACGGUACCUAAUCAGAAAGCCACGGCUAACUACGUG